Molecule: ribosomal RNA, 404 nt
Filed under: Paenibacillus sp. 7541
Lineage: Bacteria; Bacillati; Bacillota; Bacilli; Caryophanales; Paenibacillaceae
Description: bacterial SSU rRNA
Rfam family: Bacterial small subunit ribosomal RNA
Source: RNAcentral
CUUUAUUGGAGAGUUUGAUCCUGGCUCAGGACGAACGCUGGCGGCGUGCCUAAUACAUGCAAGUCGAGCGGAAUCGAUGGAGUGCUUGCACUCCUGAGAUUUAGCGGCGGACGGGUGAGUAACACGUAGGCAACCUGCCCUCAAGACUGGGAUAACUACCGGAAACGGUAGCUAAUACCGGAUAGGAUAUUUGGCUGCAUGGCCGGAUAUGGAAAGGCGGAGCAAUCUGUCACUUGAGGAUGGGCCUGCGGCGCAUUAGCUAGUUGGUGGGGUAAUGGCCUACCAAGGCGACGAUGCGUAGCCGACCUGAGAGGGUGAACGGCCACACUGGGACUGAGACACGGCCCAGACUCCUACGGGAGGCAGCAGUAGGGAAUCUUCCGCAAUGGACGAAAGUCUGACGG